Long non-coding RNA from Syngnathus acus (greater pipefish), 259 nucleotides. RefSeq lists it as uncharacterized. Lineage: Eukaryota; Metazoa; Chordata; Actinopteri; Syngnathiformes; Syngnathidae. The transcript is spliced from 3 exons. The record is from RefSeq and is a predicted model, not a curated record.
UGACACAAGCCCAAGGUUCUUGGGCCGGCUGGCCUUCUGCCGCUCGCUCGACGGGGGUGGAGGAGAGCCUUACUUGAGGACUUGCAAGGUGCACUGCGGCUUUGCCAGUCCGGCGGCGAGCGCCUCCAGCCCGUCGUCGUACAAAUCGUUGUGGCUGAGAUCCAGCUCCCUCAGGCUGCCGGGCGAGCUUAGAACGGAGGCCAGCGCCUCGCAGCUUUUCUUGCUCAGCUUGCAGCUAUUGAGCCUGAGAAGACAAGAG